RNAcentral lists this unclassified non-coding RNA (166 nucleotides) under uncultured Lyngbya sp. RNAcentral's name for it is "partial 16S-23S ribosomal RNA intergenic spacer". The stretch from base 1 to 64 matches the Rfam family "tRNA", at positions 10 to 71 of the family's 71-position model. The record is from RNAcentral. Lineage: Bacteria; Bacillati; Cyanobacteriota; Cyanophyceae; Oscillatoriales; Microcoleaceae.
GCUCAGUUGGUAGAGCGCUGCCUUUGCACGGCAGAAGCCAGCGGUUCGAGUCCGCUUACCUCCAGUGGGGCAGAGAAAAGCAAGCAAAAAGAGUCCAGCAACUCAAAUGGGAAAAAACCAGGGAGACUGCUGGAGGAAAAACCAGCCAGAACCUUGAAAACUGCAA